UUAACCGACUUCAGAAAAGAUGGACACCUUUUCCCACGCUGUUUCGCUUCUGCCUCAACUUUGGUCCAGCUUUAGCCACCACACAGCGUGCGAGGGACUGCUGCUGCGGAAUCGGCCUCAUCUGUCCCUCCGCCUCCCACCAGCACAUGCUGCUUCUGAGAGACACCAGCUCCCUGCCUCCAAGCCUGCUACCACAGGCCUGUCGUGAGGGACCCCCGCUUCCGAGAGCUCCUGGGAGGGGGUUCUGCCCUUCACCUGGGAGAGGUGUCAGUUCAGUUCCGGGUUGAAGAGGCCCGUGCACACAGCAUGUUGGGGACCCAGCCUAAAGUUCUUGUCACCUCCUCAGGCAAAGCCAGCCAUCACUCUCCGGCCAGAUCCCCCAAACCUCAAGGUGGCCCCUUGACCAGCCCCUCCUUGGGGCCUCCAGGAGGACGGAGCACCCCUCCCAGCGGCAUCCCCUUGCCCUCCACAGGGCUGCCAGGGGCACGUCGCAGGGGCACCGUGGACUGAAACCAGCCCCUGGUGACAGAACGACCCGUUUGUUGGAAAUGCCUCGUUGCCAGAGGAACUCCCCAGGCAUCUCGGAAUGAAACUAUUUAGUUCCAUUGUGAACUGGCCACAGGACAGCUUUUUAUCAACUUAUUAAGUUGGAGCACUAUAAUAGCUCUUGCUGAUUUAGCAAUGGUAUAAGUGUGUGUUAAACACAUAAUGUUACAUUUUAUGAGGAGGUCGUAAGGAAGGGUCGUAUCACUCGACUCUUUUCUAUUAGUUGGGUGACAGUGGCCUCAUGUUUGUGUCUGUGUGUACACAGAGCCCUUGGGUUCUGCUCUGUUUCUUUGCCAGGUGAAUGUUUGUGGCAUGCGCUGCUGUCCACGCCCCUCUGUCCUGCACAGGGUUCAGCUGUGCGGUGCCCUGAUUUCUUCCAUGCUCAGAGAACCUCCUUGCGUCUGUUUCUCUGUUCCUCUGUGGCUGACUCAAUAAACUUUUUCCCUCUGACAUGAUGA
Molecule: RNA transcript, 1004 nt
Organism: Cercocebus atys (sooty mangabey)
Lineage: Eukaryota; Metazoa; Chordata; Mammalia; Primates; Cercopithecidae
Exons: 1
Source: RefSeq, a predicted model, not a curated record